GAUGAACGCUGGCGGCGUGCCUAAUACAUGCAAGUCGAGCGAACAGACGAGGAGCUUGCUCCAUUGACGUUAGCGGCGGACGGGUGAGUAACACGUGGGUAACCUACCUAUAAGACUGGGAUAACUUCGGGAAACCGGAGCUAAUACCGGAUAAUAUUUCGAACCGCAUGGUUCGAUAGUGAAAGAUGGCUUUGCUAUCACUUAUAGAUGGACCUGCGCCGUAUUAGCUAGUUGGUAAGGUAACGGCUUACCAAGGCAACGAUACGUAGCCGACCUGAGAGGGUGAUCGGCCACACUGGAACUGAGACACGGUCCAGACUCCUACGGGAGGCAGCAGUAGGGAAUCUUCCGCAAUGGGCGAAAGCCUGACGGAGCAACGCCGCGUGAGUGAUGAAGGUCUUCGGAUCGUAAAACUCUGUUAUUAGGGAAGAACAAACGUGUAAGUAACUGAGCACGUCUUGACGGUACCUAAUCAGAAAGCCACGGCUAACUACGUG
Molecule: ribosomal RNA, 497 nt
Filed under: uncultured bacterium
Lineage: Bacteria
Description: partial 16S ribosomal RNA
Rfam family: Bacterial small subunit ribosomal RNA
Source: RNAcentral